RNAcentral lists this ribosomal RNA (1319 nucleotides) under Enterococcus faecium. Its description in RNAcentral is "bacterial SSU rRNA". It matches the Rfam family "Bacterial small subunit ribosomal RNA", at positions 36 to 1308 of the family's 1533-position model. The record is from RNAcentral. Lineage: Bacteria; Bacillati; Bacillota; Bacilli; Lactobacillales; Enterococcaceae.
AGGGAGGGGGCGGUCGUAUCUGCAGUCGAGCAAGGUAUCUUAACCGGAGCUUGCUCCACCGAAGUGCAGGAGUGGCUAACGGUUGAGUAACACGUGGGAAACCUGCCGAUCAUAAGGGGAUAACACUUGGAAACAUAAGCUAAUACCGUAUAACAAUCGAAACCGCAUGGUUUUGAUUUGAAAGGCGCUUUCGGGUGUCGCUGAUGGAUGGACCCGCGGUGCAUUAGCUAGUUGGUGAGGUAACGGCUCACCAUGGCCACGAUGCAUAGCCGACCUGAUAGGGUGAUCGGCCACAUUGGGACUGAGACACGGCCCAAACUCCUACGGGAGGCAGCAGUAGGGAAUCUUCGGCAAUGGACGAAAGUCUGACCGAGCAACGCCUCGUGAGUGAAUAAGGUUUUCGGAUCGUAAAACUCUGUUGUUAGAGAAGAACAAGGAUGAGAGUAACUGUUCAUCCCUUGACGGUAUCUAACCAGAAAGCCACGGCUAACUACGUGCCAGCAGCCGCGGUAAUACGUAGGUGGCAAGCGUUGUCCGGAUUUAUUGGGCGUAAAGCGAGCGCAGGCGGUUUCUUACGUCUGAUGUGAAAGCCCCCGGCUCAACCGGGGAGGGUCUUUGGAAACUGGGAGACUUGAGUGCAGAAGAAGAGAGUGGAAUUCCAUGUGUAGCGGUGAAAUGCGUAGAUAUAUGGAGGAACACCAGUGGACGAAGGCGGCUCUCUGGUCUGUAACUGACGCUGACGCUCGAAAGCGUGGGGAGCAGACAGGACUAGAUACCCUGUCAGUCCACGCCGUAAACGAUGAGUGCUAAGUGUUGGACGGUUACCGCCCUUCAAAGCUGCAGCUAACGCAAUAAGCACUCCACCUGGGGAGUACGACAGAAUGGAUGGAAACUCAAAGGAAUUGACGGGAGCCCGCACAAUCUGUUGCAUGCAUGUGGAUUAAUCCUAAGCCACGCUAAGAAUCCUUAGCAUGGUCUUGACAUACUUUUGACCACUCUAGAAAUAACAGCUCCACUUUCGGGGGCAAAGUGGACAGGCUGGUUCAUGGUUUGUCGUCUCGUUCUUCUCGUCAAAAGGUAGGCUUCAACUCCCGCAACGAGGCGGCCACCCCUUAUUUGGUCAGUUGCCUUCAGAUCAGAUUGGGGCCACUCUACCAUGACUGGACAGGGUGAAGAACACGGGAGGAAGGGUUGGGUGGAUGACUCUCAAUUCAUGCGGUGUCCCCUUUAUUGACUUGGUCUACCAUGAGACCGUAGAUGGGAAACGUACAGACGAGAGAGUCUGACACGAAGGCUCCCACAGAGGGAUGCAUAUGAGC